This 253-nucleotide ribosomal RNA is filed under the name uncultured bacterium. Its description in RNAcentral is "partial 16S ribosomal RNA". It matches the Rfam family "Bacterial small subunit ribosomal RNA", at positions 524 to 776 of the family's 1533-position model. The record is from RNAcentral.
UACGUAGGGUGCAAGCGUUAAUCGGAAUUACUGGGCGUAAAGCGUGCGCAGGCGGUUUUGUAAGUCAGAUGUGAAAUGCCCGGGCUUAACCUGGGAACUGCAUUUGUGACUGCAUGGCUAGAGUGUGUCAGAGGGGGGUAGAAUUCCACGUGUAGCAGUGAAAUGCGUAGAUAUGUGGAGGAAUACCGAUGGCGAAGGCAGCCCCCUGGGAUAACACUGACGCUCAUGCACGAAAGCGUGGGGAGCAAACAGG